UUUCAGAAAGUGAUAUUUCUUAUUCCGACUACAAUCCGAUCUCGGAUCAGCUCUUCCCUUAGCGCGCCAAACUGACAGUGUUCUGCUAGUUUGUGAACAGCUGUGAUAAAACUGUUGGUGGUUUCACCCUGCUCCUGUUUGCGCAUAUUAAACCUAGUUCUCUCAAAAAUAAUGUUGUGUCUCCCUACAAAAUACGUUUCAAAACAGUCUUUAACGGCACUGUAGUUAAGAUUCUCUUCCUCGGUCAACGUUGAAGCAUUUAAUAUAUCCUCAGCUUCAUCACCCAUAGAGUAGAUCAGUGUAUUAACUUGAAAUGCCUCGUUUUUCACGUUUAAGCCUGAUGCUACACUGUACCUUUCAAAGGGCCAUUUCGGCCAGUUUUGAAUGUGCAUACAAACCCGAAAUCCGUCAGCACUAGCCACUGGCCUGUCCGUGUUUGCGCCAGAGUCCGUUGAACUUGGAGUCGCAAACCCUGAAAUCCCGCCAGCUUCUUCCUCUUGCAAACAUGUUGCUUAGCAGUAACUUAGUCAUUGAUCGUUAGCUAGCAAAAUAAUGAUAUGCGCUGUUUUAUCUCCAACACUGUGCCCUCCCUGCUUUGAAACAGCCUGAAUGUAUGAUUUACUUGGUACGUCCUUCACGUUUAUGUGAAUUUUAAAACUACUUCUGACACCAUGUAGUAUGAUCUAAAAUAAUAUCUCAAAGCAAAGUUGUUGCCUGUCAGUUUGUAUGGAAUAUGGAACUCUGCUUUGGAGAAAAGCAAGACUGGAAGAGAGGAGUUUGUGAUAGACUUGAGUUCCAUAUUUAGCCACAGGGGGGCAACAGUGUCCAAUUUAUCAGGGAAACCCAGUUGCCAGUACGGUAAUGCCCUGGUGUUUGCAGCCCAGUAGUAAUGCUUAAAGAUGGGUAGGCCUAAGUCGCCACUUUCCUUGGGCUUUUGCAAGUGGGCUUUACGAAUACGGUGUUUUUUGUAACCUUAGACAAAUGACAAGAUUGUCCAGUCCAAAGUCUUAAAAAAUUAUGAGGUAAGAAAAAUUGGGAGAUUCUGGCAUAGAUAAAGGAACCUGGGGGGAGAAACCGUUUCUAUGGCAUUUGUGCGCCCCAUCAUAGAAAGAGGCAAUAUUCUCCAGCUCUCUAUGUUUUGUUUUAACUUUGCAACCAGUUCACUGUAGUUUAGCUUGAAGAUGAGCUUUGGAUUUUUAGACCCAGGUAAGUUAAGUGGGUAUGCAGCACUUUAAAUAGUAUCCUCUCUAGCUCACUUGUUGUCAAAUUAUCUGCGAUACACAUGAGAUCCCCUUUUCCCCAAUGUAUUGAAUAGCCAGAUAGUUUGCGAAAUUAAUUGAUUAAGUCUAGUUGUUUAGGGACAGAGGCUACUGGGUCGGAGAGGUAUAAAAGUACAUCGUCUGCAUAUAACGAAAUGCGGCUUUCUAUGUUUCCUACUUUCAGACCUUGGAUAUUAGGAUGAUCCCUUAUUUGUAUCGCCAGGGGUUCAAGGGCGACAGCGAAGAGCAGAGAACUGAGUGUGUACCCCUGUAGGACAGAUCUAUGUAGUUCAAAGGGACUGGAUGUGUCGCUGUUGGUCAGAAUAGCGGAUGUUGGGCAGGCGUAGAGCAUUUUGACCUAGGUGAUAAAUGAGUCGCCAAAUAUAGUGAGUGCUUCAAACAUAUGACCAUUCUAUUUGGUCAAACGCUUUUUGAGCAUAUAGCGAUAUAACAGCCGCCUUGGAGCCCCUCCCCUGAUUUGCACAAAGAAUGUUCAGCAGCCUGCGCACAUUAGAAAAACAGAACUUGCCGGGGAUAUACCGUCUGAUCCAAGGAAUAAUGGUUGUUACAUGUUUGUUCAACCUAUUAGCAAGCACUUGUCAUUUUUUUAAAAUCGAAAUUAAGCAAUGCUAUCGGUCUAUAAUUUGCAGGAUCUGUUGCCUCUGCCUUUUUUUUAACAGACGGCAAAUAUUGGCUUCAUACAAUGAUUUCGGCAAAAUAUUAUUUUCUGUUGAAUCCGUGAUCAUCCUGAGUAAGAGGGGAGCGAGAGCUUCACUGAAGGUUUUAUAACAUUCACAGCCAAAACCAUGAGAGCCUGCAGCCUUUCCAGGUGGGAAAGCUUUUAUUGCCUCGAUUAUUUCCGCUGUUGUGAAAUUUGAGUUCAAUUCUUUUUUGGCGCUAUCAUCAAGUUUUGGCCGGCUGAUGGAAUCAAAGAAAGCGGAUAUAUUCAUCCAGAUGCUUUUGGUCUAAUGUAACUGAGUUAAAUUAUUUGAAUCAGUUGUUUAUCCUUUUAGGGUAUGUCAGCAAAGUGUCCGCCUUAGACCGGAUGUUACGGAUUGCUCUAUUUGCCUGUGAGCCCUUUAGUUGUCUAGCCAGUAACCUUUCUGGUUUGUCCCCUAGUUCAAAUUGUUUUUGUCUCAGCAUUAGUAGGAGGUUACUGACCUGUGAACCAAGAAUAGAAUUGUAUUCAUAUUUUAAUUUCAAAAUAUUGUUGUAGUCAACCUGCGAGAGUGAAGUUCUGUAUGUCUCCUCCAAAGCUGGGAGUUUUUUUUUUCUAUCUCCUCCAACCGACUGCGAUUCACUUUUUUUUAAUAGCAGACUCAUAUGAAAUAUGACCUCUCAUAACCACUUUAAAAGUUUCCCAUGGUGUAGAAUCAGAUACCACUCCUGUGUCAUUAGUCUUGAGGAACUCAAUCAACUUGGCUGUCAUGCUGUCAAUGAAUGCUUGGUCUGUGAGCAAGGAGAGGUUAAAACGCCAUCUGUAAUAAAGUAUUGGUAAAGAAAGAUUGAGGGACAACAUAAUUGGACUGUGGUCACUUAUUAAGAUGCUAUGGUGUUUCGAAUUAAGCACAUUGGUUAUCAGUUUGGAAUCUAUUAGAAAGUGGUCGAUUCUAGAAUAAGACUUGUGAACAUGAGUAGAAUGAGUUGUUUUUGUCUGUGGGAUGUUGUGGUCUCCAGAUGUCCACUAGAUUCCUGGAUUUGAUAUGAUUAUUUAGAAUCUGGACAGAAGUGAUAUUAGAAGGAGUAUGUGUAGACUGUAGACAGUCUGUCAAGAUACGGAUCAAGGUAACAAUUAAAAUCGCUUCCAAUUAUUCGAUUAGUGGUACUAAGAUCUGGGAGCAAAUCAAAAACAUUAGGAAAGAAAUGUGGGUUGUCAAUGUUAGGGCCAUAAACGUUCAAUAGGUUGACAGGAAAAUAAUGAAUGUUCCCUGGUACAAUGAUAUACCUACCGUGUGGGUCUGUAGACAUGGAGGAGAGUUGGAAAUGGAUGUUUUUACGAAAGAGAAUAGCGACACCUCUAGCUUUGGGUGAUUGAUAAACUUGAGAAAUCCAGUUGGAUCUCAGAUGCCGCUGCACAGUGGCUUUUAUGUGCAUUUCUUGCAGGAAAAUUAUGUCAGCACCAAGUGAUUUCAAACGCUUAAAUAUCAUGCCCCUUUUGCGCGUGAGACCGUUCAAGUUCCACGAGACACAGCCUUAACAUCUGACUGAUUCCCGAGAUCGUUUCCUGACAUUUACAUCCAAGAGCAUUUAAAAUAAAACAUCUUAAGCAUGUACAAAUUAAAAUCAAACUUGUCUGGCAGCAGAAAACAAAAACCAAACAGGGUAACAGACCACAGAGAACCCCCCUCUCCCCACUGCUUCCCCAGAGAAGCCCGCUCUCCCCACGGCUUCCCAAGAGAAACCCGCCCUCUCCACGGCUUCCCCAGAGAAGCCCGCUCUCCCCACGGCUUCCCCAGAGAAGCCCGCUCUCCCCACUGCUUCCCCAGAGAAGCCCGCCCUCUCCACUGCUUCCCCAGAGAAGCCCGCCCUCUCCACUGCUUCCCCAGAGAAGCCCGCUCUCCCCACGGCUUCCCAAGAGAAGCCCGCUCUCCCCACGGCUUCCCCAGAGAAGCCCGCUCUCCCCACGGCUUCCCCAGAGAAGCCCGCUCUCCCCACUGCUUCCCCAGAGAAGCCCGCUCUCCCCGCGGCUUCCCAAGAGAAACACGGUUCUCCCCAUCUCACGUAAUUGAGGACCGCCAGGUAUGAUGGCUAGAACAGACCCAAUACUAUGCUAGUAACCUAAACAGCCCUCUCCGCGGUUGUUGGAAAACAAAAUGAAUACGUUACCGCUUAUGAAUAAACAUAGAAUCCACUGUUUGCUCAGUCAAUAUCCCAGAAAUGUGUGGCGAGUGAUUUCACCCUUUCAGAGGGUUUACUGUAGUUUUGAUAAGUAGGUUGCAGCCUCUUUGGCUUGGUGAAGACUUUUGUCAUGCUGUUGUGAUGAACAUGCAGCUUUGCUGGAAAAUGAAGCCCUCACCACCUGUAGAGUGCGGUGUUAUGGGUGUAAGAUGUAUUUGGUAGCAUUGCAUUUAAAUUGUUAAACUUGGGUCAAACGUUUCGGGUAGCCUUCCACAAGCUUCCCACAACAAGUUGGGUGAAUUUUGGCUCAUUCCUCCUGACAGAGCUGGUGUAACAGUCAGGUUUGUUGGCCUCCUUGCUCGCACACGCUUUUUCAGUUCUGCCCACACAUUUUCUAUAGGAUUGAGGUCAGGGCUUUGUGAUGAGCACUCCAAUAUCUUGACUUUGUUGUCCUUAAGCCAUUUUGCCACAACUUUGGAAGUAUGCUUGGGGUCAUUGUCCAUUUGGAAGACCCAUUUGCAACCAAGCUUUAACUUCCUGACUGAUGUCUUGAGAUGCUUAAAUAUAUCCACAUAAUUUUCCUACCUCAUGAUGCAAAUAUUUUGUGAAGUGCACCUGUCCCUCCUGCAACAAAGCACCCCCACAACAUGAUGCUGCCACCCCCGUGCUUCACGGUUGGGAUGGUGUUCUUCGGCUUGCAAGCAUUCCCCUUUUUCCUCCAAACAUAACAAUGGUUAUUAUGGCCAGUUUUAUUUUUGUUUCAUCAGACCAGAGGACAUUUCUCCAAAAAGUAUGAUCUUUGUCCCCAUGUGGUUGCAAACCGUAGUCUGGCUUUUUUAUGGCGGUUUUGGAGCAGUGGCUUCUUGCUUGCUGAGCAGCCUUUCAGGUUAUGUCGAUGUAGUACUCGUCUUACUGUGGAUAUAUACUUUUGGACCUGUUUCCUCCAGCAUCUUCAAAAGUUCCUUUGCUGUUGUUCUGGGAUUGACUUGCACUUUUCAUACCAAAGUACGUUCAUCUCUAGGAGACAGAAUGCGUCUCCUUCCUGAGCGGUAUGACGGCUGCGUGGUCCCAUGGUGUUUAUACUUGCGUUCUAUUGUUUGUACAGAUGAUCGUGGUACCUUCAGGUGUUUGGAAAUUGCUCCCAAGGAUGAAUCAGACUUGUGGAGGUCAACAAUUUCUUUUCUGAGGUCUUGGCUGAUUUCUUUUGAUUUUCCCAUGAUGUCAAGCAAAGAGGCACUGAUUUUGAAGGUCCAGAUUGAAACUAUGGAUUUCCACUUAGCUUCCAUCUGUUCUCCCUGAUUGCUCUCACCUGCGCGGAACCUGUGAAAUUUGCAGAUUGUGCCUCUGCUGUUGGUACGGUGGUGAUUGUGGACAUCCACCCUUGUCCUAAACAACCAUGCCAGCUCCAUAAAGGACAGGCCUAUGCUGUCAAUGUGACAUUCAAGUGGUAAAUACUGUUGUUUUUUUGUUGUUGUUUUUUUACCAGGGAACAGUGGGUUAACUGCCUUGUUCAGGGGCAGAAUGACAGUUAGGGGAUUCGAUCCAGCAACUUUUCAGUUACUGGCCCAACGUUCUAACCACUAGGCUACCUGCCUCCCCAAAAUAUAUAUAUAUCAUCAACCAAUUUGUUUUGUAGCCCUUCACAUUCGUACCCAUACUGGUUGAACAUUUCAGAUUUGGGCACUGAUAAGCAGCUAUUGGAAUGCUGUGGCUGUACAGUAACAUGCUAUAAAUGAUGUCAGAGCUCAAACUCUGCGCUUCACAGCACUGUAUGGGUUUUCUGACAGCCGUUCUGAACUUGAGCACCGCACAUGACAAGAAGUUGGCCCCAACCCUCCAGCUAAUUGGGUAACUUGUGCAACAAAAAACAUUCUGCCAGCUUUUUGUGCGUAUGGGAGACAAGUUAGUCCUCUCACUCAAACCCUUGUCAGUUUAUUUUGUUGCACCUACCCCACAUUUCCUAGGAAUCUUCUUAUGUUACUGAAUGAGUAUUUCCAGAAUUUGUUACCUACAAAUGUGGUGGAAAGUAUAGUAAAUGUAAAAUGCACAUAAAAUCAAGUGUAAUGUUUGGUUUCAGUCUUGUGUCUGGUGAACUGUUGCAUCCUCAACUUUGGUCUAAUAAUUUCCCCAUAAUCUCAAAACUGUUCCCUUUCAAUUGCUACCAUGCUUAUGCAUAUGCACAUCAUAUUUCUUCUGUAAGAAGCGUUUAAAUUUAGCCCUAUUCAUAUAGGCCAAUUUCCAUGAGUGUAAAGGUUUAAUUCAAAGUAAAUGUUGCCUAUAUUCUUUUUCAUCCUUCCUGCUUCUCGUUUUAGCAGUUGAGAGCCAGACGAGUAGAGCAAUUGUCCAUGGGGUGAUCACUCAUAUUCCCAUUCCUAUUGAAGACGGCUGCAAGUCUGAUAAAAGGGAAACGUUUGUGUAUUGUUUGUCCCAUAUACCGGACACAAUCUAUACAUUUGUCUAUUCAUUUCUAUACUGAACUAAAAUAUAAAUGCAACAUGUAAAAGUGUUGGUCCCAUGUUUCAUAAGCAGAAAUGAAAGAUCCCAGAAACUGAUGUGUAUUGUCAACCAGUAAUGGCUAGAUUUGUAAUUUUAUAAAAUCAGGAUUUCUAAAUUGUUUCAUCUAAUAAAAGUAUUUAAUUCAU
Molecule: long non-coding RNA, 6739 nt
Organism: Salvelinus fontinalis (brook trout)
Lineage: Eukaryota; Metazoa; Chordata; Actinopteri; Salmoniformes; Salmonidae
Exons: 3
Source: RefSeq, a predicted model, not a curated record